GGAGGGGUCGGAUAGUGGUUCAUUCCAUCGCACUUGAAAUGCGACGUCCCGCAAGGGACCCGUGAGUUCGAAUCUCACCCCCUCCGCCA
Molecule: transfer RNA, 89 nt
Filed under: Candidatus Yanofskybacteria bacterium RIFCSPHIGHO2_01_FULL_41_21
Lineage: Bacteria; Candidatus Yanofskyibacteriota
Also listed under: 1 other name
Description: tRNA-Ser
Rfam family: tRNA
About the family: Transfer RNA (tRNA) molecules are approximately 80 nucleotides in length. Their secondary structure includes four short double-helical elements and three loops (D, anti-codon, and T loops).
Source: RNAcentral